This 227-nucleotide long non-coding RNA is filed under the name Elaeis guineensis (African oil palm). RNAcentral's name for it is "long non-coding RNA (EGUI_LNC062524)". Lineage: Eukaryota; Viridiplantae; Streptophyta; Magnoliopsida; Arecales; Arecaceae. The record is from RNAcentral.
UAUGAUGUUGAUAAUUGGAUCAUACUUUAUAUAGAUUUUAAAAUAUUUCAAAUUUUUUAUUCACUAUUUGCAUAGAUUUCAAAAUAGUUAUAGUACAAUUUAAUGGUAUAAGAUAAUUUUUUUUUUUUACACGCGGAAGAUACAUCUCGAGUCAAAGCGAGAUCCGUGUAAGGUAUCUACUGGUCGUCCUCUUGACUAAUCAGCUGCGACUGUUGGUUCCUUUCCCA